UUCUCUGACGCUUGCUAGAGACUGAAGCUGACCGUUGCAGACUAGUUGGAAAUGAUAUCACUGUGGAUUUGUGCCAUUUUGCUUGUGGUGGCACGGGUUGAGUAAUCAUCUGCAGCUCCCGCAAUCUCAGAUCAGCUGCAGGGAAAUUCCACGACAGCAAAUUCCUCGACAACGAAAGAGGAGCUCUCGGCCUAUCAAACGAUCGAACAGGCCAAUAAUGCUGAGGCAAACUUACGAAUGUCGGACAGAAGCGGGCUGUUUUUAUAUGAGGGAGAUAUUGAACUAACAGAAAGACAACGUAAAAUGAUUAAAACCCAGAUCUCUGGCGGACGACGGAAGCGAGCUACUCUAAGAAGUCUUUCUCGGCGUUGGAUGGAUUCAAGCGGUCGUCCUUUGAUUCCCUACUACAUUGAGGGCAGUGUGGCACAUGCCCGCGGUGUCAUAGAUCAAGCCAUGAAACAUUGGAUGAGUAAAGUUCCUUGCCUGAGGUUCCUUCGAAGAACAACUCAUCGUAACUACAUCAGCUUCUUUUCUGGAGG
RNA transcript from Stylophora pistillata, 539 nucleotides. It is a transcript of the gene named hatching enzyme 1.2-like, with no coding region annotated. The record is from RefSeq and is a predicted model, not a curated record. Lineage: Eukaryota; Metazoa; Cnidaria; Anthozoa; Scleractinia; Pocilloporidae.